RNAcentral lists this long non-coding RNA (1028 nucleotides) under Capra hircus (goat). RNAcentral's name for it is "lncRNA (ENSCHIG00010019654.1)". The record is from RNAcentral. Lineage: Eukaryota; Metazoa; Chordata; Mammalia; Artiodactyla; Bovidae.
AUGUUUGUAAUCUUUCAUUCAAGCAUAUUCAAGCAUACCAGUUCUGUGCAGAGUUUUUUUCUGUUCACUUUGUGUGUGUGUGGUUUUUUUUUUUUCCAUCCCACUAAAACUUUCCAUGUGGUACUAGCUCAACUGUGUGUGACAUUCAGCCUGCUCGAAUACCUGUUUAGUUUAUUCAACUGCUUCAUUUACCCACAGAAUUCAUAUUGCUUUUACUUAAAAGAAAUUCAAAAUUCCUCAUCUUUUCUUACAAGAAGGUUUCAUGUUGUUUUAUGGGGGCAUAUUGGCUUCAGUAUAGAUUUUACCCCCUAGUUUGAUAUUUAUUCAUCUAUCAUCUAGACCGUGUUUUUGUUUUUUAAACAAUGAUAGUUGUUUUAUGGUAGGCUGGGUCAAAAAUAGUUUUCUGAUUCUUUUGAAAGUAACUAAACAUUACAGGAUACAAUUCAGAUUUCCAGGAAGGCCUAACAUUUAAAAAGAAAAAAAAAGGACAAAUAAAAUUAGUGUUUUUUUUUUCUUGGUCAUUUUAUACUUCGCUCUUUUUAUUCAUUUUAGGUUUAAAUGGUGUCUAGGUUUUAAAAAAUUAUAUUUUCAGAGUUUUCUGGUUUUUUUUUUCUGUUACUGCAAUAUGUAAUUGAAAUUGUCCUGUGAAUAAAGAACAUUAUUUCAUGUAAGAUGUUCAAUAGAAAAUCUGACUCUUAACCUGGAUGCUACAUCAGGGAUGUGUGUGUAUGUAUGUUCAGUUGCUAUAGUCAUGUCCGANNNNNNNNNNNNNNNNNNNNNNNNNNNNNNNNNNNNNUCUGUCCAUGGGAUUCUCCAGGCAAGAAUACUGGAGUGAGUUGACAUGCCUUCCUUCAGGGGAACCUUCUAGACCCAGGGAUUGAACCUGGGUCUCCAACAUCUCCUGCAUUGGCGGGCUAGUUUUUUACCAUUAGCACCACCUAGAAAGCCCCCCAAAGAUACCCCUUGUUGUUGUUCAGCCUCUCUGGCAUGUCUGACUCUUUGGCACCACAUGGACUGCCGCACGCCAG